GACGAACGCUGGCGGCGUGCCUAAUACAUGCAAGUAGAACGCAGUUGCGAACGGGUGAGUCACGCGUAGGUAAUUGCCUAAUAGCGGGGGAUAACUAUUGGAAACGAUAGCUCAUACCGCAUACUGCGAGAUGGACAUGCGUUGUAUUAGCUAGUUGGUGAGGUAAAGGCUCACCAAGGCGACGAUACAUCGCCGAACUGAGAGGGUGAGCGGCCACAAUGGGAAUGAGACACGGCCCCGACUCCUACGGGAGGCAGCGGGAGGGAAUCUUCGGCAAUGGUCGGAAGGCUGACCGAGCAACGCCGCGUGAGUGAAGAAGGUUUUCGGAUCGUAAAGCUCUGUUGUUAGAGAACCGGUAACUAACCAGAAAGGGACGGCUAACUACGUGCCAGCCGCCGCGGUAAUUC
RNAcentral lists this ribosomal RNA (407 nucleotides) under uncultured bacterium. RNAcentral's name for it is "partial 16S ribosomal RNA". It matches the Rfam family "Bacterial small subunit ribosomal RNA", at positions 28 to 526 of the family's 1533-position model. The record is from RNAcentral.